CUGGCCUUGACAUCCACGGAAUUCGGCAGAGAUGCCUUAGUGCCUUCGGGAACCGUGAGACAGGUGCUGCAUGGCUGUCGUCAGCUCGUGUUGUGAAAUGUUGGGUUAAGUCCCGCAACGAGCGCAACCCUUAUCCUUUGUUGCCAGCACGUAAUGGUGGGAACUCAAAGGAGACUGCCGGUGAUAAACCGGAGGAAGGUGGGGAUGACGUCAAGUCAUCAUGGCCCUUACGGCCAGGGCUACACACGUGCUACAAUGGCGCAUACAAAGAGAAGCGACCUCGCGAGAGCAAGCGGACCUCAUAAAGUGCGUCGUAGUCCGGAUCGGAGUCUGCAACUCGACUCCGUGAAGUCGGAAUCGCUAGUAAUCGUAGAUCAGAAUGCUACGGUGAAUACGUUCCC
RNAcentral lists this ribosomal RNA (401 nucleotides) under uncultured bacterium. Its description in RNAcentral is "bacterial SSU rRNA". It matches the Rfam family "Bacterial small subunit ribosomal RNA", at positions 975 to 1375 of the family's 1533-position model. The record is from RNAcentral.